Molecule: ribosomal RNA, 864 nt
Filed under: uncultured bacterium
Lineage: Bacteria
Description: bacterial SSU rRNA
Rfam family: Bacterial small subunit ribosomal RNA
Source: RNAcentral
AGAGUUUGAUCUUGGUUCAGGACGAACGCUGGCGGCGUGCCUAAUACAUGCAAGUCGAACGCACUCUCGUUAGAUUGAAGAAGCUUGCUUCUGAUUGAUAACAUUUGAGUGAGUGGCGGACGGGUGAGUAACACGUGGGUAACCUGCCCUAAAGUGGGGGAUAACAUUUGGAAACAGAUGCUAAUACCGCAUAAAACCUAGCACCGCAUGGUGCAAGGUUGAAAGAUGGUUUCGGCUAUCACUUUAGGAUGGACCCGCGGUGCAUUAGUUAGUUGGUGAGGUAAAGGCUCACCAAGACCGUGAUGCAUAGCCGACCUGAGAGGGUAAUCGGCCACACUGGGACUGAGACACGGCCCAGACUCCUACGGGAGGCAGCAGUAGGGAAUCUUCCACAAUGGACGAAAGUCUGAUGGAGCAACGCCGCGUGAGUGAAGAAGGUUUUCGGAUCGUAAAACUCUGUUGUUGGAGAAGAACGUAUUUGAUAGUAACUGAUCAGGUAGUGACGGUAUCCAACCAGAAAGCCACGGCUAACUACGUGCCAGCAGCCGCGGUAAUACGUAGGUGGCAAGCGUUGUCCGGAUUUAUUGGGCGUAAAGCGAGCGCAGGCGGUUUCUUAAGUCUGAUGUGAAAGCCUUCGGCUCAACCGAAGAAGUGCAUCGGAAACUGGGAAACUUGAGUGCAGAAGAGGACAGUGGAACUCCAUGUGUAGCGGUGAAAUGCGUAGAUAAAUGGAAGAACACCAGUGGCGAAGGCGGCUGUCUGGUCUGUAACUGACGCUGAGGCUCGAAAGCAUGGGUAGCAAACAGGAUUAGAUACCCUGGUAGUCCAUGCCGUAAACGAUGAGUGCUAGGUGUUGGAGGGUUU